UUUCCGUAGGUGAACCUGCGGAAGGAUCAUUACAGAGUUCAUGCCCUCACGGGUAGAUCUCCCACCCUUGAAUAUUUAUUCCUUAGUUGCUUUGGCAGGCCGUGGAAACACCAUGGGCUCCGGCUUAUGCGUGCCUGCCAGAGGAAACAAACUCGGUUUUUAGUGAUGGCUGAGUACUAUAUAAUAGUUAAAACUUUCAACAACGGAUCUCUUGGUUCUG
Molecule: unclassified non-coding RNA, 220 nt
Filed under: plant metagenome
Description: partial contains small subunit ribosomal RNA, internal transcribed spacer 1, and 5.8S ribosomal RNA
Source: RNAcentral